ACUAGUUUAAUUAAGUAUAGUUCACUACUCCACAACACUAAAAGGCUUGUAUGUUGAAAUAAAACUUCUACAAGCGUUGCUGUCCAUCAGGAAUUUGUUCAAAUUUUACCCUUGUUCCUUUUUCUGGCCCUGAAAAGUACCUGCAAAUACAUGAAAAGCACCUGACACACAGUGACAGAACAAAGUGCUUUGGAGGAUGGACUGUUUAGUGUUUUUCGAAUUACUCCAUCAUACUUUGGAGACAUACCUGUCACCUGUCAACCAAAAUGGCAUUUUUCACCUUUUACUGAAAGUGAGUGCCCCGUGGCUGAGAGCUCUGAAGCCCCUAAACUAAAGCAAGAAGAGGAAGACAGUCAGUUAAAGUCACAAGGGAAGGGAAGGGAAGCUCUCCACUGCCGGAACCUUGCUGACUUCUUCUAUUUACUCUCGUUCUCCAGUUCAGUGACCACCUCUGAAUCAACUGACUGCGGUGUCAUGGGACCCGAUGGCACAGUAAACAACAAGAGCUUUGGCUGCAGUGCUGUUACUCUUGUUGUGCUUUUUACAAGACUAAGCAACACACACAGCAAAGUGAGAGAAUAGCUGGAGAUACACAGGGAUGGAAUGACUAGCGGGAAUAGUGAGAAUCAGGCAUAUUAUUGUUUGCAUUCCCCAGGAUCUGGAUGAGGUCUCUCCACAGGCCAAUGCCCCCUCGUGACCCCUGAAACAGCUGCAUGAAGCGAAGGAGGCGGUGGUAAUUGCAGGUGGCUAUCUCCUUCUCAAACAGUGAAAGCAGAAAGGGAGAGAGGGGGGAUAUCACAUUUCCAAGGCCUUCCAGCUCAUUUUCUCAUGGUCAGUUGCUUUACUCUGCACUCUCACUCUCUCUCUCUCUCUCUCUCUCUCUGCUGAUAUCUUAAUUUGCGGACUGAGAGGGAGGGAUGGCCCUUGUGGACCUUGAAAAUGGUUUGGAAACAGCCUCUGUGUCCAAGAAACCGGGGCACAGUUAGAGUGCGGCCCAGAGUGUUGUUGGAGUUCAGAUGCUCCAAAACAAGAAUGAUGCGAUCAGAAGUUGUGUUAGCGGUCAUGUGUGUCUUGCACACAUGAUUUAGGUGCUCUUAAAUUACUUUCCUGUAUUUUUGCAGUAUGUUUACUCAAAAUGUUUACUCAAAUGUUUGUCCCCAUAGCUAAAUACAAACCGAAGCUAAAUAGCUCAAGGGUCAGAAACACAAAGGUGUUCGGGAGUAGACCUGUCUUUUACAUGAUUUCAAAAUUACUCCAACACAAAAAGGUCAGUCAUCUUAGAUGGUCUCCUAUUCCAGUCAAAGUGCCACUGGUGUCACUGUUUCUACACUGGUUGUCUGCAGUGUCAGCAGUGACAUCCUGUUACGUAACUGCUGGUAUACAGAUGCCCCAGAGUCAAAUAACACAACACAUUCAAGUUAUUUAGACGCACCUAAUGAUCACCAAAUGCAGCCACAAGUCUAAUCACAUUUAUUGCUUUUCUGCCAUUUUGCCACUGAUGGUUGAUAUGGUUCCAAGAAGAACAGGCUGUUUUAUUACUGGUCUGACAUGGGGCAACUGAUGUGGCACUACCGGUUUGAUAAAUGGUGAUGUGGUAAUGCCCUUUCCUCCUUUGAUCUCUUGGGAAAGCACACUUGCAUAAAACAUGUAAUUACUUUGAAGUUAAUCAUAAACAUAGUAGGCCAUUGGAAUUUUGGCAAUAUUGGUUGGUAUGGCACUAGUGACAGCUGUCCCUUAAGAAGGUAAUAUGUGGUAAUAAAUAAUGAUAAUGAUAAUGCUUCCUCUUUUUUGUUUGUCUUUUAGAGGAUAGCAUAUUAAAGGAUAGCGUAGCACCUCACUCUUAUCUUAUGCCUAAAUGCGCCUAAAUGUUGUGUUCCUCUUAUAUGAAUGUGUACAUCAAUACAAAUUUAAAUAUGAUUGAACACUUUCAACAUCAUUGAUUUGUUGGACAUGAUCAUUUGAAUAAUUUCAAGUACAUUUUAAACAGAUGUACUUGACAACUGAUUAUUUUGUAGCUUGGUUAGGUUUUAGGGGUACAGUGAGGAAAUGUUAGUCUAGGUUUGGUCUAAUGACAUUAAAUUGACCAUCUGUUGAUAUCCAAUCCUCUAUUCACUCUCUGUCAUUUGGUAUAAUUACGUGGUAGUCAAUAGAGUUUUACUGUGUG
Long non-coding RNA from Clupea harengus (Atlantic herring), 2164 nucleotides. The record is from Ensembl. Lineage: Eukaryota; Metazoa; Chordata; Actinopteri; Clupeiformes; Clupeidae.